AUUCUCCAGCCCCCAGGAUUGAGUUUUUAUCUGCACUGUUGUCUCCUCAUAUUAUUUCCUGUAUACCGGAUUCUCAAGAUGAAAUAAGGAUGGAUCAAUGUCGGCUUCAAGUCUGGCAAGGGCUUCAACUUUGUGUAGAAAAAGGUUUAGUAAAGUUGAGUUUAAUCCAUAUUUGGUGGAUAUUUCAAUUCAAGAAUACUGUAAGCAGCAGGGUAUUAUUCUUCAAGCAUAUGCCCCUCUUGGG
Long non-coding RNA from Eurytemora carolleeae, 244 nucleotides. RefSeq lists it as uncharacterized. Lineage: Eukaryota; Metazoa; Arthropoda; Copepoda; Calanoida; Temoridae. The record is from RefSeq and is a predicted model, not a curated record. The transcript is spliced from 4 exons.